RNAcentral lists this ribosomal RNA (465 nucleotides) under Vreelandella stevensii. RNAcentral describes it as "partial 16S ribosomal RNA". It matches the Rfam family "Bacterial small subunit ribosomal RNA", at positions 338 to 795 of the family's 1533-position model. Lineage: Bacteria; Pseudomonadati; Pseudomonadota; Gammaproteobacteria; Oceanospirillales; Halomonadaceae. The record is from RNAcentral.
CCUACGGGGGGCUGCAGUGGGGAAUAUUGGACAAUGGGGGGAACCCUGAUCCAGCCAUGCCGCGUGUGUGAAGAAGGCCCUCGGGUUGUAAAGCACUUUCAGUGAGGAAGAACGCCUGGUGGUUAAUACCCAUCAGGAAAGACAUCACUCACAGAAGAAGCACCGGCUAACUCCGUGCCAGCAGCCGCGGUAAUACGGAGGGUGCGAGCGUUAAUCGGAAUUACUGGGCGUAAAGCGCGCGUAGGUGGCUUGAUAAGCCGGUUGUGAAAGCCCCGGGCUCAACCUGGGAACGGCAUCCGGAACUGUCUAGCUUGAGUGCAGGAGAGGAAGGUAGAAUUCCCGGUGGAGCGGUGAAAUGCGUAGAGAUCGGGAGGAAUACCAGUGGCGAAGGCGGCCUUCUGGACUGACACUGACACUGAGGUGCGAAAGCGUGGGUAGCAAACAGGAUUAGAUACCCGAGUAGUC